GUUCUGAAUCUGAAACAUUUACGUCAACUCGUGGAAGAUGGUAACCAAAAGAACGUGAGAUUCGAUUUGGAUGAUGAGAGGGUGAUUGUUUUGAACUAUGAAUCCGCAAGAAUAGCCACAUCGCGAAUAUUGAAACGCCACAGAAUACCUCAUGCCAUGUCUAUCGAUCUCACUGAUGAGCAAAAUGCAGCUGAACUUCUGUCAGCUUGCUGAACCUAAUUUUGUAUACCAGUCGAACCUCUCUAUUAUGAUAUCGUUUGCUGUUAUAGAAUAUGAUUGUUACAGAGAAGUCGGAUUGUACUCUUCACUAUUCUUUCCAAAUUUUU
This 326-nucleotide unclassified non-coding RNA is filed under the name Hevea brasiliensis (rubber tree). Lineage: Eukaryota; Viridiplantae; Streptophyta; Magnoliopsida; Malpighiales; Euphorbiaceae. The record is from RNAcentral.